GAUGAACGCUGGCGGCGUGCCUAAUACAUGCGAGUCGAGCGAACAGACGAGGAGCUUGCUCCUUUGAUGUUAGCGGCGGACGGGUGAGUAACACGUAGGUAACCUACCUAUAAGACUGGGAUAACUUCGGGAAACCGGAGCUAAUACCGGAUAAUAUUUCGAACCGCAUGGUUCGAUAGUGAAAGAUGGCUUUGCUAUCACUUAUAGAUGGACCUGCGCCGUAUUAGCUAGUUGGUAAGGUAACGGCUUACCAAGGCAACGAUACGUAGCCGACCUGAGAGGGUGAUCGGCCACACUGGAACUGAGACACGGUCCAGACUCCUACGGGAGGCAGCAGUAGGGAAUCUUCCGCAAUGGGCGAAAGCCUGACGGAGCAACGCCGCGUGAGUGAUGAAGGUCUUCGGAUCGUAAAACUCUGUUAUUAGGGAAGAACAAACGUGUAAGUAACUGUGCACGUCUUGACGGUACCUAAUCAGAAAGCCACGGCUAACUACGUG
This 497-nucleotide ribosomal RNA is filed under the name uncultured bacterium. Its description in RNAcentral is "partial 16S ribosomal RNA". It matches the Rfam family "Bacterial small subunit ribosomal RNA", at positions 28 to 507 of the family's 1533-position model. The record is from RNAcentral.